RNAcentral lists this ribosomal RNA (115 nucleotides) under Salmonella enterica. Its description in RNAcentral is "partial 23S ribosomal RNA". The stretch from base 1 to 103 matches the Rfam family "Bacterial large subunit ribosomal RNA", at positions 2823 to 2925 of the family's 2925-position model. Lineage: Bacteria; Pseudomonadati; Pseudomonadota; Gammaproteobacteria; Enterobacterales; Enterobacteriaceae. The record is from RNAcentral. RNAcentral also lists the same sequence under 1 other name.
UCUCCUGAAGGAACGUUGAAGACGACGACGUUGAUAGGCCGGGUGUGUAAGCGCAGCGAUGCGUUGAGCUAACCGGUACUAAUGAACCGUGAGGCUUAACCUUACAACGCCAAAG